GGCCGCGUGGCCUAAUGGAUAAGGCGUCGGACUUCGGAUCCGAAGAUUGCAGGUUCGAGUCCUGCCGUGGUCG
RNAcentral lists this transfer RNA (73 nucleotides) under Ctenocephalides felis (cat flea). RNAcentral describes it as "tRNA-Arg". It matches the Rfam family "tRNA". Rfam says of the family: Transfer RNA (tRNA) molecules are approximately 80 nucleotides in length. Their secondary structure includes four short double-helical elements and three loops (D, anti-codon, and T loops). Further hydrogen bonds mediate the characteristic L-shaped molecular structure. tRNAs have two regions of fundamental functional importance: the anti-codon, which is responsible for specific mRNA codon recognition, and the 3' end, to which the tRNAs corresponding amino acid is attached (by aminoacyl-tRNA synthetases). tRNAs cope with the degeneracy of the genetic code in two manners: having more than one tRNA (with a specific anti-codon) for a particular amino acid; and 'wobble' base-pairing, i.e. permitting non-standard base-pairing at the 3rd anti-codon position. Lineage: Eukaryota; Metazoa; Arthropoda; Insecta; Siphonaptera; Pulicidae. The record is from RNAcentral. RNAcentral also lists the same sequence under 1 other name.